RNAcentral lists this non-coding RNA (104 nucleotides) under Morganella morganii. Its description in RNAcentral is "Phenylalanine leader peptide". It matches the Rfam family "Phenylalanine leader peptide", at positions 19 to 125 of the family's 125-position model. The record is from RNAcentral. Lineage: Bacteria; Pseudomonadati; Pseudomonadota; Gammaproteobacteria; Enterobacterales; Morganellaceae.
CUUCUUCUUUUUCUUUUUUCGCUUCUGUUAAUGAGGCUUUUUGUCGUGUGAGAAAGAAAACGAAGACGCACAGAAAAGCCUCCCGCUGCGGAGGCUUUUUUUAU